RNA transcript from Oncorhynchus tshawytscha (Chinook salmon), 2846 nucleotides. It is a transcript of the gene named ras-related protein Rab-6A-like, with no coding region annotated. NCBI's taxonomy places the organism in Eukaryota, Metazoa, Chordata, Actinopteri, Salmoniformes, Salmonidae. The transcript has 9 exons. The record is from RefSeq and is a predicted model, not a curated record.
AUUGGUGGAGCCUUGUGCCAGUCGACGAACACAUUAGGUCGUGACAAACAUCCUCUGAAACAACUAGCUAGCAGCGAUGGAGUGCUGAGGUAGUUAGUUAGUCAGCGAGUCACAAACAAGUCAGCUGAGUGUUCAAGAAGCCAGUAUCUACUAGCUAGUUAUUUAGCUAGAAACUCACCGUUUGCCAGUCAAGCCAAGAAAUUGCAGUUUAGAAGCAUUGCUGCUAUUGCUGUUAGCUAGUUAGUUCUUACGGCACAACCCCCUGAACUUGUCAACUGGGCUGGCCAGCUAGUAGGGAUUUAGCUAGCUCACUAAAGUAAGGGGUAGUGUGUUUUUUUUAUCCCCACACUGGGCCACAGUCUACAACUUGCCUUUGCCUGCCUAACAACAUUGCAGUCAUGUCCGCGGCAGGAGACUUCGGAAACCCUCUAAGGAAAUUUAAAUUGGUCUUUCUUGGCGAACAGAGCGUGGGGAAGACUUCAUUGAUUACCAGGUUCAUGUACGACAGCUUCGACAACACCUACCAGGCCACAAUAGGAAUAGAUUUCCUGUCAAAAACCAUGUACCUCGAAGACCGAACAGUGAGGCUGCAGCUUUGGGACACAGCCGGCCAGGAGCGCUUCCGGAGUCUGAUCCCUAGCUACAUACGAGACUCCACCGUGGCCGUGGUAGUCUAUGACAUCACAAAUGUCAACUCUUUCCAGCAAACCACAAAAUGGAUUGAUGAUGUCAGAACGGAGAGAGGAAGUGAUGUCAUCAUCAUGCUGGUGGGAAACAAGACGGACCUUGCAGACAAAAGGCAAGUUGCUAUUGAAGAGGGUGAGAGGAAGGCCAAAGAGCUAAAUGUAAUGUUUAUUGAGACUAGUGCUAAAGCAGGUUACAACGUCAAGCAGACAGAUAACCACAGAGGAAGGGGAACAGAGAGCCAAAGAGCUGAAUGUUCUUUUUAUUGAAACAAGUGCAAAGACAGGCUACAAUGUCAAACAGCUGUUCCGACGUGUGGCUGCUGCCCUCCCUGGCAUGGAGAGCACGCAGGACAAGAGCAGAGAAGACAUGAUUGACAUAAAGCUGGAGAAGACCCCAGAACAGCCCGUCAGCGAAGGAGGCUGCUCCUGCUAACUCCAGCCUCCGUUUAUCACCCUCUCCAUCACUGUUUCUCGCUUUGUUCUUGAUCUUUCUCACCCUGGCUUAUCGGCCUCUAUACUGUACCUAUCCUCUCUGCUCUCCCUCUGAACCCCUUGAUUCCUGACUCCUUCACCACAGCCUGAAAGAGAAGAACACUACCUGUCCGUCAUCCUUGUCGUCGUGGAAUCCCGUCGUGGAAUCGCUGAGAUUACCUUAAGCUUAACAAGCAAAAUGUGGAUGUGAAUGCUAUUUUAUUUCCGUUGAACUUUAACUCUACUUUGGCAAUGAAAAAGGAAAUUAUUUAUUGUUACAUUUUUCAAGCACUGCGUCUUGUUGUUCUGUAAUACGCCAUGCAAGUGACUCGUUCUUGCGUCCUACUUCCGUGUUCAUGCCCCUGGUCUUUUACAUGGGCCUACAGAUAUCAAAUUAAUUGAAACGCAGUUAUAUAUUACGCUUUCUGGAUGGAACUACUUCUGCAGAUGCAUUUUAUGACAUUUUUGACAAUUGAAGACUAUUUAAAAAAAAUCCUAGAACAGUUCAAAAAUGACAAGCCUACUUGCUGCGUCGCUUGCAUGGGUAUACUCUGGAAAUGGUUGGUUGCACAGUAGUCAAAAAAUGAUUGCAGUAUGUGAGAAACAGACUUCAGAGUAAUGGAUAACCGAGUGGAAUUGUUCUGCCAUAAGUGGGCUUAGCAGCCCCCAAGAAUAUCACCCACUCGGUAAACGUUGAGCACACCAACCUUACCUUUUUACACCGGUCCCACCACAUAGCAGCUACAGUGUCACUCCACCGAAGCAUGGUAUGACAACACAAUGUAGGGAAACCACAAGAACUCACACACACACACACAGCAUGAUGACACAAUUCCCACCACAACGUGACGCAAAGUAACAAUAGAACACAAGGGCAGUUUCACUACCACAACACGACCGUCCUUCAUUAUUCACCUUGUCCUCACAACUUAAUAAAAGGUAUCUUCACCUUGGCUGCCAUUUUCUAUUAUAUCUCUUGGUUAGAUCUUUACUUUUUUCUAAAAGUACAAUUAUUACCAUAGAUGAAACGAUAUUGCUUUGGAGAACGGUACAGUUUGCAAAAUGAUUUUUGUAUAUUGAGAAGUAUCAUAUUCAACGCAAACCCAACUUCGUUAGAUAUGCAGACAUGCCUUUGUAGGUGCUCAUUGUAAGAGGGCUUCCAUGGUUUUGGGAUUUCCUAGCUUUGUUUGGUUUAAUGUUAUAUCGACACUUUAGUUAUUUUUUUUGAUCUUUUGUUAAUGAGAAUGAUCUUACAUGUUCAUUAAAUCCACAAUGACUUGUAAUAUUUAUUUCGACUGGAUCAUGUUUCUUUUUUUAUUACCGUUGGGAUGAUCCCUAAAUGACUAGAGUAUUUUGUCAACCACCUGAUUUUUUUCCCCCCAAACGUGUCCUCCAGCUCUUCCGGUGAUGUCACUACCCCUCUACUCCACCCCAAAAUGCUGACUUGAUCAAACUGAAGAAGAAAAAAACACAAACCUGGAGGAAAGUCCAGUAGCGUCUUGGUCCGUAACCUUUUAUCUUUGGAAUGGUUUUAACUGGAGGUUGGAGGCUGCCUGUGCUGCCACAAGCUCAUCAUUUGCACUGCUAGAAGUCAUCAGUGUCUUAUCGUCAUCCCCAAGAAAGGUCUGCGUUUAACUGAAAUGUCCUUUUUUCAUGUUUGAAUAAAUAGAUAAAUGCUAGACAAGGAGA